This 861-nucleotide long non-coding RNA is filed under the name Olea europaea subsp. europaea. The record is from RNAcentral. Lineage: Eukaryota; Viridiplantae; Streptophyta; Magnoliopsida; Lamiales; Oleaceae.
AUAUAUUCAAAUUUAUUGGUCACAUGCACUAAAUACCUCCACCACCAAUCCUAAUCCAGCACCAAUCUUGGUCACAAGUCACCACCACCCCCAUCGCCGCCUACACCACACCAACACUGUCAACAAAAUAAACACAAAUUCAACAAAAAAAAACCACCAUCGCCGCCUACACCACACCACCACCAAUUCAAAUUGUACAUAGUCAACACCACCACCAUCACCCCCGCCACCCAUCCCAUCCACAACUACCAUCUCCACCACCACCACCACCACCACCGCAACACCUCCUGGCCAUUUCACUCAAUUUUACUUCCGACGGUGAAUUGGGUGCAGCGACAGUGCCAUUUUAUCACCACCAACGCCGUCUCCAACAAACUUCAUUUUCAACUUCAAAAUCACACCAUCUUAAUACCACAACCACCAAAAAAUCACGAUUUUCAACUACAAAAAACCCAUUGCCACAGUCAAAUUACACCACAGAUCUACCACCACCACCAACAACAACAAAACACCGCCAUUGCCUCAAAUUCUCACCAAAGAAAAUCCCCAAAUCUAUUGUCGGCACCACCACCACUGCCUCAAAUCACAACCCUUCUACUAAGAAGUGGCAAAGCUUCCCCAUUAUGUGGCGGCAUUGCACCGAGGUCUUGAGAGUGGACGAAUUGGAGAAGCUGCAUCUCCGAACGCCACCUGUUGCGAGGUUUUCAUGAGUUGCCAGUACAGGGACAUCGGCAUCGCGCGACGCAGUGUGAACGAUUAUUGGGUGUGGCAGUAGUAACCUUCGACAGCAAUGGUGUCGAGCAAAGCCGAUCUCAGAUCGCCACCUGUGAAAAGGAAAUGAGAGAGAGCCAGAAAGGGGAG